This 425-nucleotide ribosomal RNA is filed under the name uncultured bacterium. RNAcentral's name for it is "partial 16S ribosomal RNA". It matches the Rfam family "Bacterial small subunit ribosomal RNA", at positions 354 to 796 of the family's 1533-position model. The record is from RNAcentral.
GUGGGGAAUCUUGCGCAAUGGGCGAAAGCCUGACGCAGCCAUGCCGCGUGAAUGAUGAAGGUCUUAGGAUUGUAAAAUUCUUUCACCGGGGACGAUAAUGACGGUACCCGGAGAAGAAGCUCCGGCUAACUUCGUGCCAGCAGCCGCGGUAAUACGAAGGGGGCUAGCGUUGCUCGGAAUUACUGGGCGUAAAGGGCGCGUAGGCGGACAGCUUAGUCAGAGGUGAAAGCCCAGGGCUCAACCUUGGAAUUGCCUUUGAUACUGGCUGUCUUGAGUACGGGGGAGGUGAGUGGAACUCCGAGUGUAGAGGUGAAAUUCGUAGAUAUUCGGAAGAACACCAGUGGCGAAGGCGACUCACUGGCCCGUUACUGACGCUGAGGCGCGAAAGCGUGGGGAGCAAACAGGAUUAGAAACCCUGGUAGUCC